RNAcentral lists this ribosomal RNA (321 nucleotides) under Nematoda environmental sample. RNAcentral describes it as "SSU rRNA". It matches the Rfam family "Eukaryotic small subunit ribosomal RNA", at positions 1300 to 1645 of the family's 1831-position model. Lineage: Eukaryota; Metazoa; Nematoda. The record is from RNAcentral.
GGUGGAGCGAUUUGUCUGGUUAAUUCCGAUAACGAACGAGACUCUGGCCUAUUAAAUAGACGGUGUAUCUUGAAGUAUACCGCGCUUCUUAGAGGGACAAGCGGCGUCUAGCCGCAUGAAAUAGAGCAAUAACAGGUCUGUGAUGCCCUUAGAUGUCCGGGGCUGCACGCGCGCUACACUGAAAGAAUCAGCGUGCGAUUAGCCUGGUUCGGAAGAAUCGGGUAACCCAAGUAAAUUCUUUCGUGCUUGGGAUAGGGAAUUGCAAUUAUUUCCCUUAAACGAGGAAUUCCCAGUAAAUGCGGGUCAUAAGCUCGCGUUGAU